RNAcentral lists this ribosomal RNA (350 nucleotides) under uncultured bacterium. Its description in RNAcentral is "bacterial SSU rRNA". It matches the Rfam family "Bacterial small subunit ribosomal RNA", at positions 1049 to 1395 of the family's 1533-position model. The record is from RNAcentral.
CUGUCGUCAGCUCGUGUCGUGAGAUGUUGGGUUAAGUCCCGUAACGAGCGCAACCCUUGUCCUUAGUUACCAGCACGUAAUGGUGGGCACUCUAAGGAGACUGCCAGUGACGAACCGGAGGAAGGUGGGGAUGACGUCAAGUCAUCAUGGCCCUUACGGCCUGGGCUACACACGUGCUACAAUGGUCGGUACAGAGGGUUGCCAAGCCGCGAGGUGGAGCUAAUCCCACAAAACCGAUCGUAGUCCGGAUCGCAGUCUGCAACUCGACUGCGUGAAGUCGGAAUCGCUAGUAAUCGCAGAAUAAGAAUGUCGCGGGUGAAUACGUUCCCGGGUCUUGUACACACGCAUCC